CGGGUUUCGGCCUGGCGGCGAGUGGCGAACGGGUGAGUAAGACAUCGGAACGUGUCCUGGAGUGGGGGAUAGCCCGGCGAAAGCCGGAUUAAUACCGCAUACGCUCUGAGGAGGAAAGCGGGGGACCUUAGGGCCUCGCGCUCAAGGGGCGGCCGAUGGCAGAUUAGCUAGUUGGUAGGGUAAAGGCCUACCAAGGCGACGAUCUGUAGCUGGUCUGAGAGGACGACCAGCCACACUGGGACUGAGACACGGCCCAGACUCCUACGGGAGGCAGCAGUGGGGAAUUUUGGACAAUGGGGGCAACCCUGAUCCAGCAAUGCCGCGUGUGUGAAGAAGGCCUUCGGGUUGUAAAGCACUUUUGUCCGGAAAGAAAACGGCCUGGCUAAUACCUGGGCUGGAUGACGGUACCGGAAGAAUAAGCACCGGCUAACUACGUGCCAGCAGCCGCGGUAAUACGUAGGGUGCGAGCGUUAAUCGGAAUUACUGGGCGUAAAGCGUGCGCAGGCGGUUUGCUAAGACCGAUGUGAAAUCCCCGGGCUUAACCUGGGAACUGCAUUGGUGACUGGCAGGCUAGAGUAUGGCAGAGGGAGGUAGAAUUCCACGUGUAGCAGUGAAAUGCGUAGAGAUGUGGAGGAAUACCGAUGGCGAAGGCAGCCUCCUGGGCCAAUACUGACGCUCAUGCACGAAA
This 688-nucleotide ribosomal RNA is filed under the name Mycetohabitans rhizoxinica. RNAcentral's name for it is "bacterial SSU rRNA". It matches the Rfam family "Bacterial small subunit ribosomal RNA", at positions 74 to 758 of the family's 1533-position model. Lineage: Bacteria; Pseudomonadati; Pseudomonadota; Betaproteobacteria; Burkholderiales; Burkholderiaceae. The record is from RNAcentral.